Vicugna pacos (alpaca) is the source of this 163-nucleotide non-coding RNA. NCBI's taxonomy places the organism in Eukaryota, Metazoa, Chordata, Mammalia, Artiodactyla, Camelidae. The record is from RefSeq and is a predicted model, not a curated record.
UGAACAAUAGAGAAAAUAUGAAACCAAGAGCUGGCUUUUUGAGACUAAACAAAAUUGACAAACCUAUGGCCAGGUUCACCAAGAUGAAAAGAGGAAGAACACAAAUACACAAACUAAGAAAGAAUAAAGGAGAAAUUUCAACCAACACCACAGAAAUUUAAAA